Herpailurus yagouaroundi (jaguarundi) is the source of this 3086-nucleotide long non-coding RNA. RefSeq lists it as uncharacterized. The record is from RefSeq and is a predicted model, not a curated record. The transcript is spliced from 3 exons. NCBI's taxonomy places the organism in Eukaryota, Metazoa, Chordata, Mammalia, Carnivora, Felidae.
GCAGCUGUUUUCCUGGGAUAUGACGGGGUGCAGCAGUGGUAGCAAUGGCAGUGAACGUGGUGGCAUCAGGGUGGCCUAAGCGGGGAUGUUGUUGCUGUUUCUGGUGGUCGUGGGAGGGGUGCGAUGAUGUGAACGGUGGCGGCAGGGUGGCUGAGGGUGGGACGGUGGUGACAACGGAGGUGGCGGUGGAGCGGGUGUUGGGGGGAUGGAGGUGAUGAUGGUGGAGGUGCCGGUGACGGGAAUGGCAGUCCUGACUGUGGCGGGUGGGGUUCAGAGUGUUAGCGACGGCGGCAGCCGUGAGGAUAUUGGUGGGGGUUGUUAAUUUCUGCGGCCUCCUCUGGAGAGUUUCUGAGCAAAAGCGUCUUCUCUUUUCUCUGUGCCCGGAAGAGUUGAGUCACUUUUUCUUCGUAGGUUGGCUUUUCAUCCCCCUGCCUCUAUUCACUUCCACGCUAUUGACAAGAUCUGUGGUUGUCCAGGAGCCGCUGGGGAGAGACAGACCCCGUGACCGUUUCCCCGAAGGCGGCCUUUGGCCGCUCCGUGCGGGAGCACAUGACCCCCUGCCUCGCCCCUGGCACAUUAACCAGGUGACUGCCUGCCAGGGCCCGGCCCAGUCCAAAGGGAUUUGGGAUUCAGUGUCCCAAACAAGGCACUGAUUAGCUGGUAAUCAGGCAGCGAUUAGCAGAUCGGGUCACCCGCAGUUCAGUGCCCAUUGUUCCCUGCAAAGUCCCGGGAUGUUUGCCACGCGGCCAGAGAGUCUGAAUGUCUGAGGAUCCCAACGCCUGCAGGGAAACGUAAAAGGAUUUGUGCAGCAUACCUCACGACGUUGCAGUACAUUCUCAUGAAAAGUCAGAGCGUGAUUUUGAACUAAGAGGGGAUCAACGAAAUGAUUCGUGGAGCAUUCGUGUCAGUGGGUCCCACACAGGUCUGUGAUCACUGGGUCCUCGAAUCAUCUGGAGAUCUUAGUAGAACGCGGCUUCUGAUUUUGUUAAGUCUGGGGGGAGGCCCAAGGCUUUGCGUUUCUAGUGAAUUCCCAGGUGAUUCCAGGGUUGCGGUCCAUGGGCCCCACUUUGAAUAAACAGGAUAUGCGUUUUUGUGAUGAAGAAGUAUGCAAACGUGUACUUCUAUACAGAAAACCUUCCUAGGCUGUCCUCAAGUGCCGGCAUCUCCACACUAGGCCUUCUCAGCGGGUGAACCGCAAAGAAAUCACAUUAUUAACACACACGCAUUCCGUAGGCUUCGACUCUCUGAGGCUAAGGUGGGUUCCAGCUCCGAUACAGCGGCUGGCCAGGGUUCGAGGCCCGGAGGCAUGCAAGCCAGCCAGGUGCAAGAUGGACAGCUAUUCACUCAGAGGAACCCAGAGAGUUCUGAAGGCUGAUUCUGGCUGCACGCGGAGAAGGCAUCCCAACCAACAUGGUGGGGUGUCUUCAGGAACUGGAAAGAGCUCAACAAAGUCCAUCCUACCACAAUGACAGAUUCACUGGCCCCCCCUCUAAGGACUGGGAUGAGGGAAAGAUCUCCAGGAUCUAAGGGUGGGUGGGACUAAGAUCUUUUCUUCCUUUUGAGAACUCUCCCGUUACCCCCACGUCCCCCACCCCGCCAGCAAAGAAGAGAAAAAUUGGGUAUGGGAGCCCAAUAUCUCCUCCUUAACAGACUGUUACGGUCUCGGAGAGGUUGCCAGGGUCUGAAUGAGCACAGGGAACCCGGGUUGAAUUCUAACCUUACGGUUUAAUACCUAAACGGCCUUAACUGGAUCCAUGGCUCCGUUUUGGCCCAUGGGCAAUGGGAACAGCAGCGCAAUAAUAUCUUUAAGGUUAGUAAUUCUGUAGCUAAGAGAUCCUAGCCGCUGGUCGGGCACAAAGCAGGUUCGCUUAUGCCCAUGCUAAUAAAUGUUAUGCUUUGUAUUCAGGAUUCGCUGCCCUUGUCACCAUAGCAUACACCUGUGCCUAUCUGGAAGAACCCCCAGCCACCAGGAAGUCCCUUUGACUGGCCACCCCCCUCCCCCAUCACCGUAUCCGUUCAUAGGUCAGUCAGACGUCGGGGAGAAACAGAUGGCGUUCUCAGACUGGGUAAUAGGAGGAGAGUUUAGUCAAGGACUUUUCACAGGGGUGAGGACAGGGUUUAGGAAGUCCGUAAAGGAAAACAUAAGGCCCCGGGGCUAGCAACACCCAGCUCUCCUCACGGCUUGAAAGGCCAAGGGGAAGAAGCAAUACAAGAGCCCAGAGAGGGGAGCUGUGUGGAGAAUAUCGCCCGACAGGGGCAGGGGCUCUGGUCUUUAUUGGGGGGGAGGGGGCAGCCAACUCACCAAGGACGGGGACACUAGGCAAUAAACCCAGACCCCUCUCUUCCUACCUUCCUAAGCCUGCUUAUGCUCUUACCUUGGUGCACUUUUUCCUCUGAUCGCUUUCCCCUGAAUCCUUUCUGACCCUACUGGGUGGCUAUUUUAUGGGCUCAGUUACACGCUCGAGAGGUGAAAAUGACUUUUCCAAAGGGGCCACCAUGGCGACAGCAAUGCAAGAUGUACAACCCAGAGACAGAACAUGUGGAAAGUGAGAUCUAUCUUAAAACGGAUCUGCAAACCACCAUUCUGGGACCCUCCAUCCUGGAUAUCCAGUCUCACUGGUGAGCUAACCAUGAAACUCACUGAAAGAUUUCCAGAAGCAGACAACUCCUAGAAGAAGAAAGAUUCUUCCCAAGUUUUGAUGGAACAAGAUGAUGGCUCCAUUCUGUGGAACCCAAAGGGAAAUCAGAUGGCAGGAGAAGCCAUUGCUGUCGCUUUCCAGCAGGUUGAGGGAGGAGUUGUCCCCAGAAGUGUUUGGAAGGAGGACAGUGAUCUGGAGGGGCCCCUGGAACACUGUAGCAACUCUGUUGAUACAAAUCUGACCCUCACUUCAUAAAAGCUUCUAGACAACCCACCCUAUCACAUCCCUCCUUGGAGCUCACACAUUCUUUUCGUGUCUGACAUUCAUUAGUUUGUAUCAAUUCUCUAUAUGAAUAAAUCACUUCCUGAGUAAAUGGUUAAAUCCUUGAGGGCGGGAAGGUGCUAUACUAUAAUGAUAACACCCUGUGCUUUAGGACUUGUGAAGGUU